AUGUAUAAGUACACGCCUUAACAAGGUGAAACCGCGAACGGCUCAUUACAACAGCUAUAAUCUACUCGGUCUUGAUCAGUUACUCGGAUAACUGUGGUAAUUCUAGAGCUAAUACGUGCACCGAGGCUGCCCCUUGCGGGGCAGUGCAUUUGUUGGAGCAAAACCAGGCGACUUCGGUCGUUUUUGCUGACUCAUAACAACUUAGCUGAUCGCAUGGGCUUGUCCCGGCGACGUACCGUCCGAGUGUCUGCCUUAUCAACUUUCGAUGGUAGUGUAUGUGACUACCAUGGUUGUGACGGGUAACGGAGGAUAAGGGUUCGACUCCGGAGAAGGGGCCUGAGAAAUGGCCACUACGUCUAAGGAUGGCAGCAGGCGCGCAAAUUACCCACUCUCGGUUCGAGGAGGUAGUGACGAAAAAUAACAAGGCUGUUCUCUACGAGGCCAGCCAUUGGAAUGGGUACAACACAAACCCUUUAACGAGUAUCAAUGAGAGGGCAAGUCUGGUGCCAGCAGCCGCGGUAAUUCCAGCUCUCAAAAUGCAUAGAACCAUUGCUGCGGUUAAAAAGCUCGUAGUUGGAUCUGUCCCGGCGACGUGGUCCACCCUAACGGGCGGUACUGCGCUCGUCGGCUUUGGGCCGGUCUUCGUGCGGUGGCCUUAACUGGUCGUCGUGCGUGGCUGGCUGGUUUACUUUGAGCAAAUCAGAGUGCUCAGCACAGGCGUUUCGCCGGAAUGUUCGUGCAUGGAAUAAUAGAAAAGGAUAUCGGUCCUCUUUUAUUGGUUUUGUGUACUGAGAUUAUGGUUAACAGAGACGAUCGAUGGGCAUUCGUAUUGCUGCGUGAUAGUUGAAAUUCUUGGAACGCAGCAUGACUGACUACAGCGAAAGCAUUUGCCAAGCGCGUCUUCAUUAAUCAAGAACGAAAGUCAGAGGUUCGAAGGCGAUCAAAGACCGCCCUAGGUCUGACCGUAAACGAUGCCAACUAGCGAUCCGCCGGUGGCUACAAGGCCCUGGUGGGGAGCUUCCCGGAAACGAAAGUCUUCCGGUUCCGGGGGAAGUAUGGUUGCAAAGCUGAAACUUAAAGGAAUUGACGGAAGGGCACCACCAGGAGUGGAGCCUGCGGCUUAAUUUGACUCAACACGGGAAAACUCACCCGGCCCGGACACCGUGAGGAUUGACAGAUUGAUAGCUUUUUCAUGAUUCGGUGGUUGGUGGUGCAUGGCCGUUCUUAGUUCGUGGAUCGAUUUGUCUGGUUUAUUCCGAUAACGAGCGAGACUCCAGCCUACUAACUAGUGCGGGCAUUGCCUCUGUGCUUGUCACUUCUUAGAGGGAUUGGCUGCGUCUAGCGGCACGAAACGGAGCAAUAACAGGUCUGUGAUGCCCUUAGAUGUCCGGGGCUGCACGCGCGCUACACUGGCAAAGGCAGCGUGCUUGUCCGCCUCCGAAAGGAGCCGGUAAACCCUUGAAAAUUUGCCGUGAUUGGGAUCGGAAAUUGCAAUUAUUUUCCGUGAACGAGGAAUUCCUAGUAAGUGCGAGUCAUCAGCUCGCGUUGAUUACGUCCCUGCCCUUUGUACACACCGCCCGUCGCUGCCUAGAACUGAGCCAUUUCGAGAAUAUUCGGGAUCGCUGGUUGCGAGUCCUUCGGGGCACGCCUCUGGCAAGAGAACGAACGUAAUCGCAGUGGCUUGAACCGGGCAAAAGUCGUAACAAGGUAGCUGUAGGUGAACCUGCUGCUGGAUCAUUACCUUGUCUGAUACGACACGCGUUGAUGAAAAUCAAACAAAACUCGGGGCCGCCUCUGCCCCUUGCGGAAUAGUCUACUGGGCGCCCAGACACUCGGGCACUUGAGCAAGCAGCCUUCCGUUACAGGCUCUCGCUCGGCUCCAUGCCCGGUAGGCGAAAACGGCUUUGCUGGAUCCUAUGCAACGCGGAGCAGUUGUGCCGCUAAAGUCCGUGGCUGCCGUGAUGUGUUGCGAUAGACCCGACCACCCGCGUCUGGUGGUCUGAGGAGUAGGAUUAAUGAGUACCUGAAGCGGUGCCGCCAGCGAAACAUUUUUUCACGACAAUUUUUUACGAGACAGAAAGCUAUAUUAGUCUUGCCGGUGGAUCCUUCCGGCUCGUAGCCGCCCCGGGUCUUUUUUUCUCAAACCUUGUUCUCAUAACGAGACAACGAAUGUGGUGAACGUAGCCGGCCUGACCGGU
This 2198-nucleotide ribosomal RNA is filed under the name Ogma sp. WY-2012. RNAcentral's name for it is "SSU rRNA". The stretch from base 1 to 1740 matches the Rfam family "Eukaryotic small subunit ribosomal RNA". The record is from RNAcentral. Lineage: Eukaryota; Metazoa; Nematoda; Chromadorea; Rhabditida; Criconematidae.